GGGCCCGUAGCUCAAUUGGUAGAGCGCCGCUUUUGCAAAGCGGAGGCAAGCGGUUCGAAACCGCUCGGGUCCA
RNAcentral lists this transfer RNA (73 nucleotides) under Patescibacteria group bacterium. Its description in RNAcentral is "tRNA-Ala". It matches the Rfam family "tRNA". Rfam says of the family: Transfer RNA (tRNA) molecules are approximately 80 nucleotides in length. Their secondary structure includes four short double-helical elements and three loops (D, anti-codon, and T loops). The record is from RNAcentral.